GACGAACGCUGGCGGCGUGCUUAACACAUGCAAGUCGAGCGGUAAGGCCCUUUCGGGGGUACACGAGCGGCGAACGGGUGAGUAACACGUGGGUGACCUGCCCUUAGCUCUGGGAUAAGCCUGGGAAACUGGGUCUAAUACCGGAUAUGACUCCAUGACGCAUGUUGUGGGGUGGAAAGCCUUGUGCGGCUAGGGAUGGGCCCGCGGCCUAUCAGCUUGUUGGUGGGGUGAUGGCCUACCAAGGCGACGACGGGUAGCCGGCCUGAGAGGGCGACCGGCCACACUGGGACUG
RNAcentral lists this ribosomal RNA (292 nucleotides) under uncultured bacterium. Its description in RNAcentral is "partial 16S ribosomal RNA". It matches the Rfam family "Bacterial small subunit ribosomal RNA", at positions 28 to 321 of the family's 1533-position model. The record is from RNAcentral.